AGAGUUUGAUCAUGGCUCAGAACGAACGCUGGCGGCAUGCCUAACACAUGCAAGUCGAACGAGACCUUCGGGUCUAGUGGCGCACGGGUGCGUAACGCGUGGGAAUCUGCCCCUCGGUUCGGAAUAACAGUUAGAAAUGACUGCUAAUACCGGAUAAUGACGAAAGUCCAAAGAUUUAUCGCCGAGGGAUGAGCCCGCGUAGGAUUAGCUAGUUGGUGGGGUAAAGGCCUACCAAGGCGACGAUCCUUAGCUGGUCUGAGAGGAUGAUCAGCCACAUUGGGACUGAGACACGGCCCAAACUCCUACGGGAGGCAGCAGUGGGGAAUAUUGGACAAUGGGCGAAAGCCUGAUCCAGCAAUGCCGCGUGAGUGAUGAAGGCCUUAGGGUCGUAAAGCUCUUUUACCCGGGAUGAUAAUGACAGUACCGGGAGAAUAAGCCCCGGCUAACUCCGUGCCAGCAGCCGCGGUAAUACGGAGGGGGCUAGCGUUGUUCGGAAUUACUGGGCGUAAAGCGCACGUAGGCGGCUAUUCAAGUCAGAGGUGAAAGCCCGGGGCUCAACCCCCGGAACUGCCUUCGAAACUAGGUAGCUAGAAUCUUGGAGAGGUCAGUGGAAUUCCGAGUGUAGAGGUGAAAUUCGUAGAUAUUCGGAAGAACACCAGUGGCGAAGGCGACUGACUGGACAAGUAUUGACGCUGAGGUGCGAAAGCGUGGGGAGCAAACAGGAUUAGAUACCCUAGUAGUCC
Molecule: ribosomal RNA, 743 nt
Filed under: uncultured bacterium
Lineage: Bacteria
Description: bacterial SSU rRNA
Rfam family: Bacterial small subunit ribosomal RNA
Source: RNAcentral